This 404-nucleotide ribosomal RNA is filed under the name Actinomycetes bacterium. Its description in RNAcentral is "Actinobacteria bacterium partial 16S ribosomal RNA". It matches the Rfam family "Bacterial small subunit ribosomal RNA", at positions 355 to 776 of the family's 1533-position model. Lineage: Bacteria; Bacillati; Actinomycetota; Actinomycetes. The record is from RNAcentral. RNAcentral also lists the same sequence under 1 other name.
UGGGGAAUAUUGGACAAUGGGCGCAAGCCUGAUCCAGCCAUGCCGCGUGAGUGAUGAAGGCCCUAGGGUUGUAAAGCUCUUUCACCGGUGAAGAUAAUGACGGUAACCGGAGAAGAAGCCCCGGCUAACUUCGUGCCAGCAGCCGCGGUAAUACGAAGGGGGCUAGCGUUGUUCGGAUUUACUGGGCGUAAAGCGCACGUAGGCGGACUUUUAAGUCAGGGGUGAAAUCCCGGGGCUCAACCCCGGAACUGCCUUUGAUACUAGAAGUCUUGAGUAUGGUAGAGGUGAGUGGAAUUCCGAGUGUAGAGGUGAAAUUCGUAGAUAUUCGGAGGAACACCAGUGGCGAAGGCGGCUCACUGGACCAUUACUGACGCUGAGGUGCGAAAGCGUGGGGAGCAAACAGG